CCUGCCCAGCGUGUAGAAAUCGACGCGGGUCGCCGCAGUCUCCGCCGCUUGCCGCAAUCGCGCGUCUUCAAGCUCGCGACGCAACGGAGCAAUGACCUUUUGUUCGACAUCAGCCUUGAAACCGCUGUUCUGGAUCAGCGCAUCGCACAAGGCGAUCAGCCUCGCCUUCUCACCAUCCCGCCCCAGCACAUAGCCGAAGCCAAGUUCACCGGAGGCUAGCCGCACCGCUGCGCGCGAAACGCUGGCCUCGCCGAGAUUGAAAGGCGCGCCGUCACCGCCGAUCCGGCCCC
RNAcentral lists this unclassified non-coding RNA (290 nucleotides) under Hevea brasiliensis (rubber tree). Lineage: Eukaryota; Viridiplantae; Streptophyta; Magnoliopsida; Malpighiales; Euphorbiaceae. The record is from RNAcentral.